GAUGAAGAACGUAGCGAAAUGCGAUAAGUAAUGUGAAUUGCAGAAUUCAGUGAAUCAUCGAAUCUUUGAACGCACAUUGCGCCCUCUGGUAUUCCGGGGGGCAUGCCUGUUCGAGCGUCAUUGCUGCCCUCAAGCACGGCUUGUGUGUUGGGCCUCCGUCCUCCUCCCGGGGGACGGGCCCGAAAGGCAGCGGCGGCACCGCGUCCGGUCCUCGAGCGUAUGGGGCUUCGUCACCCGCUCUUGUAGGCCCGGCCGGCGCUUGCCGACACAUCAAUCUUUUUUCCAGGUUGACCUCGGAUCAGGUAGGGAUACCCGCUGAACUUAAGCAUAUCAAUAAGCGGAGGA
This 345-nucleotide unclassified non-coding RNA is filed under the name soil metagenome. RNAcentral describes it as "partial contains 5.8S ribosomal RNA, internal transcribed spacer 2, and large subunit ribosomal RNA". The stretch from base 1 to 120 matches the Rfam family "5.8S ribosomal RNA", at positions 35 to 154 of the family's 154-position model. The record is from RNAcentral.